CAUUUGGGCAACAAGCCUACGUUCUCUUACCUGAAGCUCAGAGAACAAAGCAAAGUAAAGUAUCUCUUUGUCAUUUUCUGGGGUAUUCAACAAAGGGUUUCCAUUUUAUAGACAAAAAUGGCAAAAUAAUCAUUUCCAGAAGUGCCAGUUUCCUAGAGCAUGAGAACUGGGACAGAUUACAUUCUAACAAGGAAAUUUUUCUGAAGCCAAUGCAGAAAGAAAGGGCAGAAGAGGAUGAUUCUUUUCAGAGCUCAGAUCCUUCUCCCUCAAUGUCUCAGCUUAAACUGAAACAUGAUACCUCACAGAGNAAAGAGGAAGGCGUGACUAGUCAUUCAAGCCAGUCAGGGCAGACUGUCAUUUCUCAACACGCUGUACCUAAGAGUGAGAAGCAAGACUUUCCAGUCAGAGAAGGGGGGCGAAUUUUGCCCACAGCUCAAGCUGAAAACCAAGAUGGCAAUUUUUCUGAAGUUGAGCAAACUUCACAGAGAAUCUCUACGAGAUCUACAAAAGGAAUUCCACCAGAUAGAUAUGGAUUUACUCAGUUAGCUGAAGAAUUAACAAAUAAUAUUCUAAAUUCCUACCAGGAUGUUCUGCAAUUACCUCAAAAUGAACAGAAACUCUGGAUUGAAGCAAUGAAUAGAGAAUUUUCUGUACUUCAGAGCCAGAAAGUAUUUACUGAGGCUACCUUACCUCACAAUGAGAAGGCAAUUACAGCCAAAUGGAUUUUUAGAAAGAAACUUUCUCCUGAGGGAAAAUUAAUUUUUAAAGCGAGAUUGGUAGCGCAAGGAUUUAAGCAACCUUUAAAUGAAGAUGAAAUGAAUUACUCACNAACUGCAAGAUCUCANAGCCUUGUUACUUUACUUACAGUAGCUGCCAAGAACAAUUUUGUUUGUAAACAUUUUGAUUUUGAAUGUGCAUAUCUGAAUGCCAAGCUUGAUGAGCAAAUCUUUUUGAACCCUCCACCAGGUUUUGAAAAGCAAAAUAAAAACACUGUUUAUCGUCUCCACAAAGCCCUGUACGGACUUCGAUGCUCCGCCCGCCAGUGGAACUUAUGUUUACAUGAAGUUUUAACAAAAAUGAAUUUUAAGCGUUCUGCUGCAGAUGCUUGUGUGUACACAAGGGGAAAACAUGACAAAAAGAUUUUCAUUUGUCUUUUUGAAGAAGAUUUGAUUUUCAGUGCCAAAACAACUUCUAUAAUUGAUCAGAUUUCAUCAGAAUUG
RNAcentral lists this long non-coding RNA (1220 nucleotides) under Salvator merianae (Argentine black and white tegu). RNAcentral's name for it is "lncRNA (ENSSMRG00000002058.1)". The record is from RNAcentral. Lineage: Eukaryota; Metazoa; Chordata; Lepidosauria; Squamata; Teiidae.